Molecule: ribosomal RNA, 442 nt
Filed under: uncultured bacterium
Lineage: Bacteria
Description: partial 16S ribosomal RNA
Rfam family: Bacterial small subunit ribosomal RNA
Source: RNAcentral
CCUACGGGAGGCAGCAGUGGGGAAUAUUUGGCAAUGGGCGCAAGCCUGACCCAGCAACGCCGCGUGAAGGAAGAAGGCUUUCGGGUUGUAAACUUCUUUUGUCAGGGAAGAGUAGAAGACGGUACCUGACGAAUAAGCCACGGCUAACUACGUGCCAGCAGCCGCGGUCAUACGUAGGUGGCAAGCGUUGUCCGGAUUUACUGGGUGUAAGGGGCGUGUAGCCGGGUUGACAAGUCAGAUGUGAAAUCCUGCGGCUUAACCGCAGAACUGCAUUUGAAACUGUUGAUCUUGAGUACUGGAGAGGCAGACGGAAUUCCUGGUGUAGCGGUGAAAUGCGUAGAUAUUAGGAGGAACACCAGUGGCGAAGGCGGGCUGCUGGACUGCAACUGACGUUGAGGCCCGAAAGCGUGGGGAGCAAACAGGAUUAGAUACCCGAGUAGUC